CUGUUCAGUCUCAGAAAUUGUCAGAGCACGUUGCUCACUUGGAACUCUCCAAGGUUCUUCAACUACAGCCUGUAUUGCUGCCCCAUCAUGCUCAGCCUCAGGCACAGAUAACCAAGCUGCCAAGAAGGCAGUGGUCUUAACUUGAGCUUCUAACCAUCAAGGUCUGAUAUCUUACUCUUUCUAAUAGAGGAAUUGCUGGGAAGAAAUCCAAAAAUUAUUUGGUGCCAAUUAUUUAGCACCUAUUCCAAACAUCCUGCUUCUCCAGAUUUGUAACUUUCAUAAUUCUGACUGAAGCUAGCUGGGGCCGAUGGCAGCUGGAAUCCAACUACAUCUGCAGGGCAUCACCUUGGUUACCCCUGGUUUGGCUGAUGCCAGAGACAAGCAACAGAAUAUUUGCAGUGCAAUCAUUUUUAUGUCUUCUUGAAAGCAAACCCCAUUGAAUUUAACUCCCAGGGAGAAUGCCUGAAGGGGGCAAUGCCCUCACAAAAAUGAUGAGUCACUACUAGCUACAAUGGCGACACACACCUCCAGGUUCAGAGGGAGUGCCACUGAAUGCCAGCUGCUGGGAAGAAAGUGAGCCCCGUCCCACUGAAGUCAGGAAGACCUAUUUCCAAUGAAACAUGGAGCAGACUGGGCUGCACAGCAGUUUCAUGCAUGCAGUGAUGUUCUGCUCUCAGCAACACAUCUAUUAAUUGUGAUAUCCUGAAAAUGACAUCAUUGCAGAGUUUGUGUCAUAAUCAACAGAGCUGCAGUGAGUACAUGUGGGCAUAAUGGGGCUCUCGUACAACUUCCUAUUACCAAGAGAAAUCGAAGGGAGUCAGCCAAAAUUGGAAGAGCACAAUUAAAGAACAUCCAGUGUGGCAGGGCCUGCCCUGUGGAACUCUUGGCCAAAGAACAUAUGGCAGGAGCCAUCACUGCUCCCUCUCUAGACAUCUUUUAAAAACUGUAUUCUUUAGGCAGGCCUUUGGUAUUUGAUUUUUUUAAAGAAGGUUUCAUGGAUAUAUUGUGUUUUUACUGUUAUUGUAGUACUUGUGUUGUUAUGUUGUACACCACCUUGUUAUAUAUUCCAUGGAAGUGUGGUUUAAAAAUAUCUGAAAAAUAAAUGAUAGUUAUGAUAAUAAUAAGGAUGGUAUCCAAGUCACCCGUUCCGUCAGUGCAAGGAUUUUCACUUAUACAACAGAAUUUCUCCCCCUCUACUCCUGUGCACUCCCUGUGCGCACCCUGCAUCCUCCCCAAAUCUGCUCCAGAGGGUUAGAGGGAGGCCCAGCACCAGACAGCGCACUGGCUGAGAGGGCCCUCUGUGGCUGGGACUGGGGGGGUGUAGCUCCACUUCACAAUCUGCACUAGCAUUGGGUCACAGAUCAUGUACUCUGUGAGAUGAUGCUGGCACUGAUCACCCUGCCAGACCCCCCCUUACUGCCAUGGGCUGGCCGUGCCACUUUCUGUGUCUCCACGUCAGUGUGCUGUGAUUGUAUGCUUGCCGUUGCCCAAGAUGGCGGUGGGGAGCACAACAUGCCCCAGAUGCCAUCUUGAGUGAUGGCAGACAUAUGUAUGCAGGGCACUAACACACUGAUGCAGCCGGUCCUAUUAAAACCCUGGAGCUGGAGCAGCCGAGGGCCCACUGAACAGAUUUAGGGGUGUGCAGGCGGGGAAAGGAGGAUUGAAGUUCCAUUGCACAAGUGGAAAUCCUUGCCCUGAUGGAACAAUUUAGUUGGAUAUCACCCUAAUUAAAUUACAGGGCCAGUCAAAUUACAAGAGUACCAGACAUUUUGGAAAACAGACUUCUGGUCAUGCUCAGUGGGCAGAAGCCUUAUGCAAUAGCUAACAUGGCCUGAAAUGUGAAUAGAUUCCCAAACAGCAAGAAGCCAGUUCAAAGGAGAGCAUUAACUCAGCAGCUGCAUUUUUUUAAGGCUCAGCCCAUUUCAUAUAAUCUACAAUUGCAAGCAAGGCUUCGCCAAAACUAUAGAGUUCAAGUUUUCAGCAACUCUAUUAACAUUCUAGAAAGCAACUUUCACAUAAUACUGAACUGCGAUGAAAGGGGGAGCUAUACAAAGAGAUGUAAAGCUCUUGGGCCAAUAAACUCUGAGGAGGGGAAGGCUGAGAGGAUCGACACACUACUUUGUAAGUCAAGAUUAACGGGAAACUGAACCAUAAAGGAACUUCCCCAACCCGGUUCCCUCAAGAGGCUUUGGAGUCCAAUUCCCAUCAGCCCCAGCCAGCAUGGCAGUGGUCUGGGGUAGCAGUUAUCCAACAACACUUGGAGGGCACCAGGUUGGGGGUGGCUGCCUUAAAGAAACCAAAACAGAAGUGCCAAAGCCAAGCUCACAAGGAGAGGUGAGGAGGGAUGAGGAUGGAGUACUCAGCCACUAUGCUACAAUUUAUCAGACUGAGAUCAUGACAUCAGAGUCAGGCCAAAGUAUGACUAAUGUUCCAUAACUGAGACUGUCACAGCCUGAUCCACUGAUCCCAAGGAUGUGGCGGCAGAGAACACCUCAUCAAAGAUCUUGAUACCCUCACAGAUGCUGAGUUCCUCAUAUAAGUGGAAAACAUUGACAUGAGCAGGCAGGGUAUUAUCAAUGCAAAACUCCAAGGCCUUCCCUGGUCCUGGGGUUAUACUGUCAGCCUCUACCAUCCUACUUCACAAAACUUGUGAAGAAGAAAAAAGAUCCUCUCUCUCUGUAGGAUUAAUCCUUUGUCUUAUGCUUCAUUAAGUGGGGGUGGGGGUGGGGGGUCAUACAGAGUGCAACACUAUGCAUGUUUAUUUAGAAGGAAGUCCCAUUGCUUUCAAUAGGCCUUACUUAUAGGUAAAUGCAUACCUGUAUAUAGGAUUGCAGCCAUAAGCAACUGGAGAUGCACUCCUUUUGUCCCCUUCUGCUUGUAGGCAAUGCAUUUGCUUCUCAUUUUUGCAGUGAGGUUUAGAGCAACGGUCCAGAAAAUAAAAACACACACAUUUUCCACUUCUCCCCAGAUUUUACUGCUACCCAAUGCCCAUUUUUAUUUUGGUAAAAAGUUUUGCAGUUCAUCAAACUAAGCAUUUGGAAUGUUUUGAGCAAUCUGAAAUGCUGCUUUUUUAUGAUCACAGCAAAACCAUUUAUCAGGAGAGAGAUCAUAUCAGACAAAAUAAUUUUUCUCUCUUCCCCUGUACCCCGCAACUUGUUUUCCAGUUACUUUUUUUUAUCUUAAGAGAUCAAGAAAUCAUUAUGGGUGGCUAAGUCACAAAGCAGAAAACACACACACAAAAAGCUAAUUGAAAUUGGAGCAUGUCCCUAUGCUUUCAGGUCCCACUAUCCAUCAUCUUUUUUCCAGGAAUACACAGCAUUUCAGGGCACCAUAGGUGGUAGUGGUAAACUUUUUCAAAAAGUUUACUCUUCUGAAAAUCAUUCUAUUUAACCAUAACAUUAUUUUUGCAAUGUGAUAAAGAAGAAGCUGCUGUUUUGACCUGCUUGGAUUUCAGCAAUGAUGAUAUCCCUGUAGCAUGUAUUGUUGAAAGUAAAAUACUAAUAAGCACCUUUUUGAGAUUUCCAUGUUUUAAUUGUAGUUAUUUUGUGGCACAAGGAUCGUUCUUAUGUGGCCAAUGAAUCUCUUAAGACUGCAAUCCUGUGCCCACUUUCCUGGGAUUAAGUGAAGAU
This is a long non-coding RNA of Rhineura floridana, 3629 nucleotides long. RefSeq lists it as uncharacterized. NCBI's taxonomy places the organism in Eukaryota, Metazoa, Chordata, Lepidosauria, Squamata, Rhineuridae. The record is from RefSeq and is a predicted model, not a curated record. The transcript is spliced from 3 exons.